Eutrema salsugineum is the source of this 1839-nucleotide long non-coding RNA. RefSeq lists it as uncharacterized. The record is from RefSeq and is a predicted model, not a curated record. The transcript has 3 exons. NCBI's taxonomy places the organism in Eukaryota, Viridiplantae, Streptophyta, Magnoliopsida, Brassicales, Brassicaceae.
UUCGCUUGGUGCAGGUCGGGAACUGAUUGGCUGACACCGCCACGUGGCUUGCCAUGUUUGGCUUGUGAGCAGGGAUCGGAUCCCGCCUUGCAUCAACUGAAUCGGAGCUCGAGGUGAAAAGAAAGAAAGGAAAAGGAUCUAACUUUCAGAUCUGACACAAUCUUGUUUUAAGUUUUUUUUUGUUUGAAAAGUUGCGUAAGUUGUUUGAUUCGGUAUAUGGUUUUCUCCAAAUCCAGAAACUUUAGUUCUUUCUUCAAAGAUUGAUUGAAUCCUUUAUUUGAUUUUGAAGGCUAAGAAUAAUGUACAUGUUCUGAAUUUUCAGGAUCUAGGGUUUUGUUUGGUAGCUAUAGAUCUUGUCUUCGAAUUCGCUUCAUUGGCUAAUUGAAUUAGGGUUUUAAUAGAAUCUUCAAGGUAGAGAUUCUGAUGGAAAACUCUGUAAAUAUCGAAACUUUAUGCUUUAUGGGGUUUUGAGUAUUUUUUAGGGUUUUAUGUUGGUUUUACAUUGGCCUAAAAAUGGUGAUGAUGAGAUUCAAUAUGUUCAAUUAAGUUCCUUUACAGGUAAAUAUGUAAUUAGAUCUCUGAGUUUACCUUGAUCUUGUGAAUUAACUGAUUUCUUGACUUAGUUUCGUGUUCAGAUUUCUUGAGUUACCAAGCAAGCGAGAUUGUGGCUAUAGGCUUUUCGAUAUGUGUUUUUUUUCCAUUUCAGUUAGGUUCUGCGGAUGCAUUUAUUGUGUCUGGAUUGCUGGUGAAACCAUCAUUCCAAAAAUGGUGUUGCAGUUUGGCAACGACUUGCUAAAUGCCUCUAAGAAUGGGAUCCUUCUCCCUACAACACACACACAGUCAGUUUCCAAGCAUGGAAGAUAGCUUGAGAUUGUUAGGUAUACUUAAAGGUACAGAUGAACCAAGCAAUCUUUCCUAUGCUUCAGUAAUUGAUGGAGUUGAUCUUGAGGCUUAUCUAGCACGAAAGAAGGUAUAUUUCCUUUCUGGAUGCUCAGUUCUUUGGCAUUUGUACAUCCUUCUACCACAUUUCUGUAGAGAUUUUUCUUUAAAUCUACCAAUCAUAGUAGUCGUAAACUUUUGUAUUGACAGUUAAAGUCUGCUGUUUUGCAUUGGCAAUUUUUCUUUAAUUUCCACUGUGUUCAAGACUCUAGAAUCUCUGGUUCUUAUGUGGCAGACAAGGUUGGUUUUCUGCUUUGCUCGUUUGCUAUAUUUGCAGUUGUCUCAGUGAUGCUUACUAUUGAAGUUUUUACCAUUGGAAAAUAAGUUAACGCUCAAAACCCAAACGUUCUUCUCUACCUUUUUAUUUUCCGAAAAAUAUUCUUCUCUACUAAACUAGCAUUUUCGUUUAUUCUUCAGCUAUGACAUUGCUUUGGUCAUAACACAGUUGCAUUUAUUUUAAGCAUCUUCUUCCAUGGAUAUACAGCAUGAAGGUGAAUCAUAGUCAUUAAGAACCAAAAAACCAACAGCUGCUUAAUACAUUGCAUAACAUUACCAAGUCCCGAGGAACAGCUCUUCAACAGUUAUUACAGUUAUAAGGUCGCUUACAACUUGUUACAGCCCAGAUCAAUAAAGCUGCAGGAAUCAGAGUCAAACAACAGGUCAUGAUCAAGAGAUUGAUGAAAGUGAGGAUGAGGAAGAAGAUGUAGUAAGAGCAUUUCUAUAAUGAGAAUGAUAAUGAAUCUGCAGAUACGUUUAUUACCAUUUUGUUAGUUAGUUGUUAAUUUCUUUUCUCAUUUUUAGAUAUAUGAAUGAAUAUAGGCUUUGUUUCUUAGUCCAUGAACUCAUAGACUACCGUCAACUCAACUGUAACCAACAUAAAUUUCUAUAGCUUCUUGCCUA